UCAUCAAUCGCGUGUACGUAAACAAAUCUCAACUCCUGUCAGUCGGCAAAUUUCAUUCCUACUUUUCCGUUUAUUUAAAACACUAUAUUCUAAUGUUUUACUCAAGUUGAUAUUGUCUAAAGUCUCAGAUCAGCAAGAAUUGAUAUAAUUGCAGAUGGUGGCGGUGAAGAAUUUUAUUAUUGAUGAGAUAACGGUACGGUGAACCUAACCUAACCAAGCAGGAGAAGCUUUUGCCAAUGAUAAAGAACAAAUCUUUGAAGUUUCCAGCUAUUAAUUCUCAUCAGUUCAAAACUGAACUAAAAAUGAGAUGAUCCAAAACUGACUUCUGAAACCUUUUAACGGAAACAGUAAUUCCUUUUGAUUACU
RNAcentral lists this long non-coding RNA (366 nucleotides) under Bemisia tabaci. Its description in RNAcentral is "lncRNA ENSASIAIIG002130". The record is from RNAcentral. Lineage: Eukaryota; Metazoa; Arthropoda; Insecta; Hemiptera; Aleyrodidae.